Molecule: ribosomal RNA, 496 nt
Filed under: uncultured bacterium
Lineage: Bacteria
Description: bacterial SSU rRNA
Rfam family: Bacterial small subunit ribosomal RNA
Source: RNAcentral
ACUCAAAGGAAUUGACGGGGGCCCGCACAAGCGGUGGAGCAUGUGGAUUAAUUCGAAGCAACGCGAAGAACCUUACCAAGGCUUGACAUGGGGAUGGCAGGUGUAGAGAUACACCCUUCUUCGGACAUCCCACACAGGUGGUGCAUGGUUGUCGUCAGCUCGUGUCGUGAGAUGUUGGGUUAAGUCCCGCAACGAGCGCAACCCUUAUCUUUAGUAGCCAGCAUGUGAUGGUGGGCACACUAGAGAGACUGCCGUGGACAACACGGAGGAAGGCGGGGAUGAGGUCAAAUCAUCAUGCCCUUUAUGUCUUGGGCUUCACACGUGCUACAAUGGUUCGAACAAAGUGAUGCAAGACGGUGACGUGGAGCAAAACACAAAAACGAGCCCCAGUUCGGAUUGCAGGCUGCAACCCGCCUGCAUGAAGUUGGAAUCGCUAGUAAUCGCGGAUCAGCACGCCGCGGUGAAUACGUUCCCGGGCCUUGUACACACCGCCCGU